UACAGAGGUCCCAAGCGUUGUUCGGAUUCAUUGGGCGUAAAGGGUGCGUAGGUGGUGAGGUAAGUCGGAUGUGAAAUCUCCAAGCUCAACUUGGAAACUGCAUUGGAAACUACCUUGCUAGAGGAUUUGAGGGGGGAUUGGAAUACUUGGUGUAGCAGUGAAAUGCGUAGAUAUCAAGUGGAACACCAGUGGCGAAGGCGAAUCCCUGGAAAAUACCUGACAUCUGAGGCACGAAAGCUAGGGGAGCAAACAGG
RNAcentral lists this ribosomal RNA (254 nucleotides) under uncultured bacterium. Its description in RNAcentral is "partial 16S ribosomal RNA". It matches the Rfam family "Bacterial small subunit ribosomal RNA", at positions 524 to 776 of the family's 1533-position model. The record is from RNAcentral.